Molecule: long non-coding RNA, 496 nt
Organism: Homo sapiens (human)
Lineage: Eukaryota; Metazoa; Chordata; Mammalia; Primates; Hominidae
Exons: 2
Source: RefSeq, a predicted model, not a curated record
UUAAUUACUGUCCAAUGGAGUAGAGCCCCCUGGCUGGGGAAAGGGAAGUCUCCAGUGGCACGUGGCAGAAAAUGCCAGCCACCUGGCUGUGCUGGACCCUUGGGCCAUGCAUCCCAGCCCCAGCAAGGAGAGGAGAGUCAUGGGGAGCUGCUGCUCGCCGGUUUGAAACAUCUCCUUCCUUGACUAUCAGCCAAACUACAGUAUCUUCAAGAUGCCACUAAAUUGUCUUCUGCUCUAUAAAGGCACCACUGACGUAGUGCAGAAUUGGCAUUCCUUCUUUGAACACCCAUCUUACAUGGUGCAGAGUUGUAAUAUUGCAUAGUCCAUUGAAUUGUUAUCGCUUAUUUAUGUGGCUGUCCUCCACCUUCAUUCCCAGAAUUUAAACAGAGAUCAGUCUUAUUUUCCUUUGUAUUCCCUUCCGCUACCUAGCAUUGAGCAUAUACGAUCUUCAGUUGUUGUUUAAAACAUAAAAAAAUAAAAAUAAUGGUAGUCGACA